GUGGAUUAGAUACCCUAGUAGUCCAUGCCGUAAACGUUGGGCACUAGGUGUGGGGGACAUUCCACGUUUUCCGCGCCGUAGCUAACGCAUUAAGUGCCCCGCCUGGGGAGUACGGCCGCAAGGCUAAAACUCAAAGGAAUUGACGGGGGCCCGCACAAGCGGCGGAGCAUGCGGAUUAAUUCGAUGCAACGCGAAGAACCUUACCAAGGCUUGACAUGGACCGGAAAGACCUGGAAACAGGUGCCCCGCUUGCGGCCGGUUUACAGGUGGUGCAUGGUCGUCGUCAACU
RNAcentral lists this ribosomal RNA (289 nucleotides) under uncultured bacterium. Its description in RNAcentral is "partial 16S ribosomal RNA". It matches the Rfam family "Bacterial small subunit ribosomal RNA", at positions 773 to 1060 of the family's 1533-position model. The record is from RNAcentral.